AGCAAGCCAUGGCCAGAUGAGU
Molecule: unclassified non-coding RNA, 22 nt
Filed under: Mus musculus (house mouse)
Lineage: Eukaryota; Metazoa; Chordata; Mammalia; Rodentia; Muridae
Description: oocyte_clustered_small_RNA1035
Source: RNAcentral